GUAGAAGUUACGAUAGAUUGGCUCUCAUAUUGAGAGUCAUAUUGAUAGGAGGUGGUUGAUGUUAUCUUUAGGUUGGCCGCGAGCAUUUUUGGUAAAUCUCAUCCGUAGUUGCUUCAGAAAAGAGGACUUGUUGAUUCUAGAGAUUAGUAGUUUAAAAGGGUUUGUGCCUUUGUUUCUGCUUUUAGUUGUUGGGUUCGACCUCUUUCGAUUUAGGUUUACAAAUCUCUGUUUUGUGUUUUCAUUAAUUACGUUUUCCUUCGGCUUUGACUCCGGAAACAUUUAUGUCGUUCGCCGGUUUUAGUUUUCCUUUUUUGGGGGUUGUAUUCUACCUUGGUUGCACAACAAGUUUAUCAAUAAAAUUUCAUAUGAAA
RNAcentral lists this small RNA (371 nucleotides) under Arabidopsis thaliana (thale cress). Its description in RNAcentral is "ATSL078480". The record is from RNAcentral. Lineage: Eukaryota; Viridiplantae; Streptophyta; Magnoliopsida; Brassicales; Brassicaceae.